Solanum pennellii is the source of this 1004-nucleotide long non-coding RNA. RefSeq lists it as uncharacterized. The record is from RefSeq and is a predicted model, not a curated record. The transcript is spliced from 2 exons. Lineage: Eukaryota; Viridiplantae; Streptophyta; Magnoliopsida; Solanales; Solanaceae.
UGUUGUAACUUCCUCCUCGUAUAUAGGUUAUAGAUAAGUCUUACAAUUUUCUUAGUUCAUCUCUUUUCUGUAGAAGUUGUACAUAAUCUUUAUAUACUUAGUUUACAAUCAAUAAAACAUAUCGUUCCUUUCAUUCUAAAGGCAAUUUUAUACUUUAUAUGUCCACAAAUUGAUGGAAUAUUCAUAUAGAGGUCAAAAUUCUCAUUGGACUUGGACCUGAAUUCUGUUAAAUAUGAGCUUCUAUUUAUGCAAGAGAUUCUACUAUCUCUUAUCUAGAAUUUUAUGAGAAGCUAGUUGAUCGUGAACUUUUCGUCAAGCAUGAAGAAUCAAAGAAGCCACUCUCAACGCCCAUUACUGCUGCUAUUGCACAACAAACAAACAUGCAUCCUCGCUAAAGAAAUAACUCUAAUAGGCGUUCAAAUGAAAAUUCCCCCAACACCAACCAGUCAAGGGGUUUCCAGCCAUGGCAUGCUAGCAACAAUAACCAAUAACAUCUUUAUGACCACACUCUGAAGUGCCAGUUGUGUGACCGCCCUGGUCAUUCUUCUAAGGUUUGCAGCUCACAAUCACACGAUCACAUACGAGACCGGGCAAACAAUACUGCUUGAUAUCCAACUCAAUAGGCUCCUUGGAUUGUUGAUACAGGCGCCACUCAUCAUAUGGCCUCCAAUGCCCAAAACUUCACUGAUAUGCACACCUACCAUGGUCCAAAGGAGAUAGUAAUCGGGGAUGGUAGCACCAUUCCAAUAUCUCAUACUGGAUCUGAGUACGGGGGCGUCUCUAUUUCGUGAGCAGAUUCGAGAUGGGCUAUACGAGUGGCAAUCGGGCAGUGCACAUCAUACCCCUCAAUGGAAUGUUUUUGUUCCUCUAUACUUGUGGCAUCGGCGUUUAGGCCGUCCAAAUAAUUGUACUUUAAACACGAUUUUACAUCAUUUUUCUCUUCUAAUUUCAAUUUGUAAUUCGUGUUAUUCUAAUAAAAUGCACAGGUUACCUUUUUCUCAAAA